UACGUAGGGUGCGAGCGUUGCCCGGAUUCAUUGGGCGUACAGCGCGCGCAGGCGGAUGCACGCAUCCCGCGUGAAAUCGCCCGGCUCAACCGGGCGGGGUCGCGGGAGAUGGUGCGUCUGGAGCACGGGAGGGGGCAGUGGAAUUCCCGGUGUAGUGGUGGAAUGCGUAGAGAUCGGGAGGAACACCAGUGGCGAAGGCGACUGCCUGGACCGUGGCUGACGCUGAGGCGCGAAAGCGUGGGGAGCGAUC
Molecule: ribosomal RNA, 250 nt
Filed under: uncultured bacterium
Lineage: Bacteria
Description: partial 16S ribosomal RNA
Rfam family: Bacterial small subunit ribosomal RNA
Source: RNAcentral